This 403-nucleotide ribosomal RNA is filed under the name uncultured bacterium. RNAcentral describes it as "partial 16S ribosomal RNA". It matches the Rfam family "Bacterial small subunit ribosomal RNA", at positions 28 to 526 of the family's 1533-position model. The record is from RNAcentral.
GACGAACGCUGGCGGCGUGCCUAAUACAUGCAAGUCGAACGCAGUGGGGACGGGUGAGUAACCCGUGGGUAACCUCCCAUCAGAGGGGAUAACACUUGGAAACAGGUGCUAAACCGAUACUGAUGGAUGGACCCGCGGUGCAUUAGCUAGUUGGUGGGGUAACGGCUCACCAAGGCCACGAUGCAUAGCCUGCCUGGGAAGGUGUGUCGCCACACUGGGACUGGGACACGGCCCAGACUCCUGCGGGAAGCAGCAGUAGGGGAUCUUCGGCAAUGGGGGGAAGUCUGACCGAGCAACGCCGCGUGAGUGGAGAAGGUUUUCGGAUCGUAAAGCUCUGUUGUUAGAGGAGCGGUAACUAACCAGAAAGGGACGGCUAACUACGUGCCAGCCGCCGCGGUAAUAC